UUUCACCCCCUGGCUCUUAAGCAUCAGUGAGCGUUUACAUUGUAACAUUGUUAAAAUGUUACAUUACAAAAAAGGACAGGUAUUGGUACCGGCAAGUACCAGAGAGAAAAUAACGGUACGGUCUUUAAAAAAAAAUGGUAUAUGUGCAUCUGUAGUUGUAAUAGUUGUGUAUGAGUCCAUUUUGUUAAAAAUACCCAUUCACAGAUUUGCAAACUUUUGACCACAGCUGUAACAAGAACACGAGCAUGAUUUUGUUACAUAUGAAUUGAUAGAUGUGACCCUUCUGUAAAGUUAUUCAGCAAUGUUUAAUCCGUUUCUUUUUUAUAUAGCAUGUUAAGUUUGCACAAACAGCCUGCCUGUAGACGCACACUGU
This is a long non-coding RNA of Sinocyclocheilus rhinocerous, 373 nucleotides long. RefSeq lists it as uncharacterized. Lineage: Eukaryota; Metazoa; Chordata; Actinopteri; Cypriniformes; Cyprinidae. The record is from RefSeq and is a predicted model, not a curated record. The transcript has 3 exons.